CUGUAUGGGGCUGAAGGGCUUUCUUUCAGUCUCUCCUCAAGCUCAGUGAACAUCACAGCAACAUAUUCCCUUAAAAUCCUGAAAAGGUGCCGCACUUGAGAGGCAGUGUAGAGUGUGAACCUUGGAACCAGACCGCGUGGGAUUAGGUGACAGGCACUUAGCUUCCGCGGGAGCUGGAGCAAGACAUUUAACCCCUCCAGCCUCAGUGUUCUUAUCUGUCAAGUGGAGGUCAUAGUUGUGCUGACCCUGAAGGUGAAGAUUAAAUCAGCUAACAUACGUAGCACAUCCCCUAUAGUUCCUAGGGCAGGAUGCUGCUCUAAACUAUUGACACGGACUAUUUUCUGGAAUCUUCACACCUGUCUGGUGAGGUUUGUUCUACUUUUGUCAUCUCACGAUCCCAGCCGAGGAUGCUGCGGUUCAGGGGAGUGGAGUAAUGUUCCUAAGACACAGCUGGCCAGGGGCAGAGUAUGGAUUUGAACCAGACAGCCCUCCUGCAGGCAGCGUAGGCCAGAAGUGAAGAACUUGGAGAACAAACAGACCUGGGUCCAAAUCCUGGUUGGAUCUGCUAUGAAGACCUUGGGGCCAUCCCACAUCACCACCUCUACUCAACCCCGACUCUCCAGACUGGAUCUACUUUUAUGACGUACGGGCUAAAUUGGUGAAAAAGCAAGCAACUGUACAAUCUUCACUCAACCAACACUUGCCAAGGCUGAGAUAAAGGAGGUUUGUAUUUCCUAUGCAGCAUGAUUAGGAAGAAGGAGGAGUGGCGGGUGGAGGCUGUGAUGAGCUACCGAAAUCAUCCUUAAGGAGAGAGGCAUUUAGGCCCCCAGCUGCUGGGAGAGCUGCCUGCUGACAGCCCUCAGUUGUCAGCACCCAAGGGGAUUGCCUUGGUGGAAGAGAGCUGCCUCCUUGCCACUGUCACGCCCCCUUCCGUGGCGGGCUGCAUCUAAUGACUGAUUGACAAGAGGGUGUGGAGUCCCGAGCCUCUCAGCCUCAACUUGGAUGACUCAGAAAGAUAUUCCCAGCAAAGAAUUAAUUCCCUGUCGAGUGGGCUGAGACCUUCCUCAUGACUACAUUGUAGCUCAGUGUCUCCCUUUGCCCAAUUUGACUUCCUUCCCUUCCCUUCUCCAGAUGUUGAUCCCUUGAGAACUCCCUAGUAAACCUCCUG
This is a non-coding RNA of Macaca mulatta (Rhesus monkey), 1168 nucleotides long. The record is from RefSeq and is a predicted model, not a curated record. Lineage: Eukaryota; Metazoa; Chordata; Mammalia; Primates; Cercopithecidae.